RNAcentral lists this ribosomal RNA (253 nucleotides) under uncultured bacterium. Its description in RNAcentral is "partial 16S ribosomal RNA". It matches the Rfam family "Bacterial small subunit ribosomal RNA", at positions 524 to 776 of the family's 1533-position model. The record is from RNAcentral.
GACAGAGGGGGCAAGCGUUGCUCGGAAUUACUGGGCGUAAAGGGCGCGUAGGCGGGAUGGCAAGUCGGUCGUGAAAUCCCUCGGCUCAACCGAGGAACGUCGAUCGAUACUGCUGUUCUUGAGGAUUGCAGAGGAGACUGGAAUUCCCGGUGUAGCGGUGAAAUGUGUAGAGAUCGGGAGGAACACCGGUGGCGAAGGCGGGUCUCUGGGACGGUACUGACGCUGAGACGCGAAAGCGUGGGGAGCGAACAGG